CCGGGGUGCGAGUGGGGGGUGGGGAGGUCCAGCCAGGGGAUGAAAUGGGGCUGGAAGGAGAGAGAAGCCCAGAGCAGCGAGCCUGGAGCCGCUGGAAGGAAAGGCAGGAGCAGACUUCAUCCCUGCUCCAAGAAGAGAGGCGGACUGGGCGAAAACUGUCAUGAUUCUCUAUGUACAUACUGAAAAUGGAACCAGGUGUAGCAUAACAACAGAUACCAAUCACCAAGCAAUAAUACCAAGAAGGAGAACUGCAGAUUACCCCCAGAGAAUUUAAUGUGUGAUUGUGGAAGAAAACCUUCUGUAGUCUAAUAACGUGAGAAUGUUUUGCAUCCAUGUAACCCAUGUAUAUCUACAUUUUGGAGAAUUACAGUAGGUGUUAAUACAUGGGAGGAGGGGGUGGCUGUCUCUGUGAAGUCCAGGAUUG
This is a long non-coding RNA of Perognathus longimembris pacificus (Pacific pocket mouse), 424 nucleotides long. RefSeq lists it as uncharacterized. NCBI's taxonomy places the organism in Eukaryota, Metazoa, Chordata, Mammalia, Rodentia, Heteromyidae. The record is from RefSeq and is a predicted model, not a curated record. The transcript has 2 exons.